RNAcentral lists this ribosomal RNA (466 nucleotides) under uncultured bacterium. RNAcentral describes it as "partial 16S ribosomal RNA". It matches the Rfam family "Bacterial small subunit ribosomal RNA", at positions 339 to 795 of the family's 1533-position model. The record is from RNAcentral.
CUACGGGAUGCUGCAGUGGGGAAUAUUGGACAAUGGGGGAAACCCUGAUCCAGCAAUGCCGCGUGUGUGAAGAAGGCCUGCGGGUUGUAAAGCACUUUCGGUUGGGAGGACUGCUUCUAGCACUAAUAUUGUUGGAAGUUGACGUUACCUUCAGAAGAAGCACCGGCUAACUCCGUGCCAGCAGCCGCGGUAAUACGGAGGGUGCAAGCGUUAAUCGGAAUUACUGGGGCGUAAAGCGCGCGUAGGCGGCUAGAUCAGUCGGGUGUGAAAGCCCCGGGCUUAACCUGGGAACUGCAUCCGAUACUGGCUAGCUUGAGUACAGGAGAGGAGAGUGGAAUUCCACAUGUAGCGGUGAAAUGCGUAGAUAUGUGGAGGAACACCAAUGGCGAAGGCAGCUCUCUGGCCUGAUACUGACGCUGAGGUGCGAAAGCGUGGGGAGUAAACAGGAUUAGAUACCCCUGUAGUC